GAACUCCCGGGGAGUGAGGGACGAGAUAUGGAGGUCACAGGUCACCAGCGAACCUACCGUGGUGUGGAAAGGAGGUGUUGCAAUGCUUACAGCAGCAUCUGUAUGGCCGUUUAUGAUUGCCUUAGACGCCUGUGCUUGUGUUCCCUGGGAGCCCUGUGUAUUUUAUGCCUUUAAAACCAUGAUUCUGAGAAGGGCCCAUCUCCUUCACUGGACUAACUGCCUGAGGGGUCCGUGCCACAAGCAAGAUGCACGUAAGAGAUCUUGCCACCAGGAUUCCCCCUGGGCCUAAUAUGACCGAUCUAAUUCAUCGGAGCUCUGAGUUGGAGGAAAUCUUGUGUGUGACAAAAGGCCCUCAUCUCACAUGAAGUCUUCCCCAAUGAGGCAGAAGUGAUUAAAAUCCCGCCCACUAAAGUGAAACAGUAUGUGUCUUCUAUUCUCUCCAGUUGCAUAUAACGUAAAAUCGCUGUCUUG
Vombatus ursinus (common wombat) is the source of this 471-nucleotide long non-coding RNA. RefSeq lists it as uncharacterized. The transcript has 3 exons. The record is from RefSeq and is a predicted model, not a curated record. NCBI's taxonomy places the organism in Eukaryota, Metazoa, Chordata, Mammalia, Diprotodontia, Vombatidae.